GCUGGGCUUCAUCACCAGGCCUCCUCACAGAUUCCUGUCCGUUCUGUGUCCUGGACUCCGGAUACCUCAACUCUCAGUACUUUGUGCUCAGCCCAGGCCCAGAGCCAUGGCUAUCUCCUCUUCCUCCUGCGAACUGCCCCUGGUGGCUGUGUGCCAGGUAACAUCGACGCCAGACAAGCAACAGAACUUUAAAACAUGUGCUGAGCUGGUUCGAGAGGCUGCCAGACUGGGUGCCUGCCUGGCUUUCCUGCCUGAGGCAUUUGACUUCAUUGCACGGGACCCUGCAGAGACGCUACACCUGUCUGAACCACUGGGUGGGAAACUUUUGGAAGAAUACACCCAGCUUGCCAGUGUCCCUUCCCCCCAGGGAAUGUGGACUCUGGCUGUCCUUGGGUGGUUUCCAUGAGCGUGGCCAAGACUGGGAGCAGACUCAGAAAAUCUACAAUUGUCACGUGCUGCUGAACAGCAACGGGGCAGUAGUGGCCACUUACAGGAAGACACAUCUGUGUGACGUAGAGAUUCCAGGGCAGGGGCCUAUGUGUGAAAGCAACUCUACCAUGCCUGGGCCCAGUCUUGAGUCACCUGUCAGCACACCAGCAGGCAAGAUUGGUCUAGCUGUCUGCUAUGACAUGCGGUUCCCUGAACUCUCUCUGGCAUUGGCUCAAGCUGGAGCAGAGAUACUUACCUAUCCUUCAGCUUUUGGAUCCGUUACAGGCCCAGCCCACUGGGAGGUGUUGCUGCGGGCCCGUGCUAUCGAAACCCAGUGCUAUGUAGUGGCAGCGGCACAGUGUGGACGCCACCAUGAGAAGAGAGCAAGUUAUGGCCACAGCAUGGUGGUAGACCCCUGGGGAACAGUGGUGGCCCGCUGCUCGGAGGGGCCAGGCCUCUGCCUUGCCCGAAUAGACCUCAACUAUCUGCGACAGUUGCGCCAACACCUGCCUGUGUUCCAGCACCGCAGGCCUGACCUCUAUGGCAAUCUGGGUCACCCACUGUCUUAAGACUUGACUUCUGUGAGUUUAGACCUGCCCCUCCCACCC
This 1037-nucleotide small RNA is filed under the name Pan troglodytes (chimpanzee). Its description in RNAcentral is "processed transcript". The record is from RNAcentral. Lineage: Eukaryota; Metazoa; Chordata; Mammalia; Primates; Hominidae.